AGAACCGAAAUCUGAGGAGUAAUGUAGAUCAUAUUCUGAGAAAUGACAGAGUUAGUCAGUAACAAGAGGGUACAAUAGGAUAUGAAUAAAUGACUGAGUGUGUGAAACAGAUCUGAUCUGUUCUGCUCUCUCAAAGAGUUCUCUAGAAGAGGUGGGGUUUAAACACUGAUAUCUGAUGUGAUCUUCUUUAACUUCAAGUCUGUUAGACAGAGAAUAAGAAACGCACAAUGAAUCUCUAUUCUGUAAUUCUACUUUCAGCCUUUGCAUAUGCAGCUUAUGGAAAUGAAAUCAAACCAACCAAAACAGAGGUGUUUGCUGCUGGGGGUUCAAAUGUUACAUUAUCCUGCAGUUAUUCAUCUGCACUCCGUCUUCACUGGUACCGUCAGUAUCCUGGAUCAGCUCCUGAGUUCAUUGUGCUCAUCUCAGACAGUUCAAAACAAACUAAGGAGUCCUAUGUAGAUUCUAGAUUCACGACCAAAGUCACUAAAGUCAGUAAAGAAAAUCUUGUGGAUCUGAAGAUCUCCUCUGCAUCUAUAACAGACUCUGCUCUGUACUACUGCGCUCUGACGCCCACAGUCACAGGAAACACAAGAACACUGCACAAAAACCUGACACACAGCAUUGCAUCUUCCUCACACAUACACAGCCCCCAUAUCUGCCACAGUAUAGUUAACACAAGGUAA
Non-coding RNA from Carassius auratus (goldfish), 683 nucleotides. Lineage: Eukaryota; Metazoa; Chordata; Actinopteri; Cypriniformes; Cyprinidae. The record is from the annotation of a RefSeq genome assembly.